Molecule: ribosomal RNA, 298 nt
Filed under: uncultured Rhodoferax sp.
Lineage: Bacteria; Pseudomonadati; Pseudomonadota; Betaproteobacteria; Burkholderiales; Comamonadaceae
Description: partial 16S ribosomal RNA
Rfam family: Bacterial small subunit ribosomal RNA
Source: RNAcentral
AAGUCCCGCAACGAGCGCAACCCUUAGUCAUUAGUUGCUACAUUCAGUUGGGCACUCUAAUGAGACUGCCGGUGACAAGCCGGAGGAAGUGGGGAUGACGUCAAGUCCUCAUGGCCCUUAUAGGUGGGGCUACACACGUCAUACAAUGGCUGGUACAAAGGGUUGCCAACCCGCGAGGGGGAGCCAAUCCCAUAAAGCCAGUCGUAGUCCGGAUCGUAGUCUGCAACUCGACUACGUGAAGUCGGAAUCGCUAGUAAUCGUGGAUCAGAAUGUCACGGUGAAUACGUUCCCGGGUCUU